UACGUAGGGUGCGAGCGUUGUCCGGAAUUAUUGGGCGUAAAGCGCACGUAGGCGGGUCUUUAAGUCAGGGGUGAAAUCCUGGAGCUCAACUCCAGAACUGCCUUUGAUACUGAAGAUCUUGAGUUCGGGAGAGGUGAGUGGAACUGCGAGUGUAGAGGUGAAAUUCGUAGAGAUCCGGAAGAACACCAGUGGCGAAGGCGGCCCGCUAGGCAGUGGCUGACGCUGAGGCGCGACAGCGUGGGGAGCAAACAGG
Molecule: ribosomal RNA, 253 nt
Filed under: uncultured bacterium
Lineage: Bacteria
Description: partial 16S ribosomal RNA
Rfam family: Bacterial small subunit ribosomal RNA
Source: RNAcentral